ACUAGCGAAUCCAGCUUCAUGGAGUCGGGUUGCAGACUCCAAUCCGAACUGAGAGAGGUUUUGGGGAUUGGCAUCCCGUCGCCGGGUAGCAGCCUUCUGUACCUCCCAUUGUAACACGUGUGUAGCCCCGGACGUAAGGGCCGUGCUGAUUUGACGUCAUCCCCACCUUCCUCACAUCUUACGAUGGCAGUCCCGCUAGAGUCCUCAGCAUGACCUGUUAGUAACUAACGGCAAGGGUUGCGCUCGUUAUGGCACUUAAGCCGACACCUCACGGCACGAGCUGACGACAACCAUGCAGCACCUUCACACUGGUCCGAAGAAAAGCCAAUCUCUUGGCCUGUCCAGUGCAAUUUAAGCCCGGGUAAGGUUCCUCGCGUAUCAUCGAAUUAAACCACAUGUUCCUCCGCUUGUGCGGGCCCCCGUCAAUUCCUUUGAGUUUCACCGUUGCCGGCGUACUCCCCAGGUGGAAUACUUAAUGCUUUC
This 483-nucleotide ribosomal RNA is filed under the name uncultured bacterium. RNAcentral describes it as "partial 16S ribosomal RNA". The record is from RNAcentral.